CCUACGGGAGGCAGCAGUGGGGGAUAUUGCACAAUGGGGGGAACCCUGAUGCAGCGACGCCGCGUGGGUGAAGGAGUGCUUCGGCAUGUAAAGCCCUAUCGGCAGGGAAGAAGCAAGACGGUACCUGACUAAGAAGCCCCGGCUAACUACGUUCCAGCAGCCGCGGGAAUACGUAGGGGGCGAGCGUUAUCCGGAUUCAUUGGGUGUAAAGGGAGCGUAGACGGCCAUGCAAGCCAGGGGUGAAAGCCCGGGGACCAACCCCGGGACUGCCCUUGGAACUGCAGGGCUGGAGUGCGGGAGGGGCAGGCGGAAUUCCUGGUGUAGCGGUGAAAUGCGUAGAUAUCAGGAGGAACACCGGUGGCGAAGGCGGCCUGCUGGACCGCGACUGACGUUGAGGCUCGAAAGCGUGGGGAGCGAACAGGAUUAGAUACCCGAGUAGUC
RNAcentral lists this ribosomal RNA (441 nucleotides) under uncultured bacterium. RNAcentral's name for it is "partial 16S ribosomal RNA". It matches the Rfam family "Bacterial small subunit ribosomal RNA", at positions 338 to 795 of the family's 1533-position model. The record is from RNAcentral.